Molecule: ribosomal RNA, 1645 nt
Filed under: Escherichia coli
Lineage: Bacteria; Pseudomonadati; Pseudomonadota; Gammaproteobacteria; Enterobacterales; Enterobacteriaceae
Description: partial 23S ribosomal RNA
Rfam family: Bacterial large subunit ribosomal RNA
Source: RNAcentral
CGAAUGCUGACAUAAGUAACGAUAAAGCGGGUGAAAAGCCCGCUCGCCGGAAGACCAAGGGUUCCUGUCCAACGUUAAUCGGGGCAGGGUGAGUCGACCCCUAAGGCGAGGCCGAAAGGCGUAGUCGAUGGGAAACAGGUUAAUAUUCCUGUACUUGGUGUUACUGCGAAGGGGGGACGGAGAAGGCUAUGUUGGCCGGGCGACGGUUGUCCCGGUUUAAGCGUGUAGGCUGGUUUUCCAGGCAAAUCCGGAAAAUCAAGGCUGAGGCGUGAUGACGAGGCACUACGGUGCUGAAGCAACAAAUGCCCUGCUUCCAGGAAAAGCCUCUAAGCAUCAGGUAACAUCAAAUCGUACCCCAAACCGACACAGGUGGUCAGGUAGAGAAUACCAAGGCGCUUGAGAGAACUCGGGUGAAGGAACUAGGCAAAAUGGUGCCGUAACUUCGGGAGAAGGCACGCUGAUAUGUAGGUGAAGUCCCUCGCGGAUGGAGCUGAAAUCAGUCGAAGAUACCAGCUGGCUGCAACUGUUUAUUAAAAACACAGCACUGUGCAAACACGAAAGUGGACGUAUACGGUGUGACGCCUGCCCGGUGCCGGAAGGUUAAUUGAUGGGGUUAGCGCAAGCGAAGCUCUUGAUCGAAGCCCCGGUAAACGGCGGCCGUAACUAUAACGGUCCUAAGGUAGCGAAAUUCCUUGUCGGGUAAGUUCCGACCUGCACGAAUGGCGUAAUGAUGGCCAGGCUGUCUCCACCCGAGACUCAGUGAAAUUGAACUCGCUGUGAAGAUGCAGUGUACCCGCGGCAAGACGGAAAGACCCCGUGAACCUUUACUAUAGCUUGACACUGAACAUUGAGCCUUGAUGUGUAGGAUAGGUGGGAGGCUUUGAAGUGUGGACGCCAGUCUGCAUGGAGCCGACCUUGAAAUACCACCCUUUAAUGUUUGAUGUUCUAACGUGGACCCGUAAUCCGGGUUGCGGACAGUGUCUGGUGGGUAGUUUGACUGGGGCGGUCUCCUCCUAAAGAGUAACGGAGGAGCACGAAGGUUGGCUAAUCCUGGUCGGACAUCAGGAGGUUAGUGCAAUGGCAUAAGCCAGCUUGACUGCGAGCGUGACGGCGCGAGCAGGUGCGAAAGCAGGUCAUAGUGAUCCGGUGGUUCUGAAUGGAAGGGCCAUCGCUCAACGGAUAAAAGGUACUCCGGGGAUAACAGGCUGAUACCGCCCAAGAGUUCAUAUCGACGGCGGUGUUUGGCACCUCGAUGUCGGCUCAUCACAUCCUGGGGCUGAAGUAGGUCCCAAGGGUAUGGCUGUUCGCCAUUUAAAGUGGUACGCGAGCUGGGUUUAGAACGUCGUGAGACAGUUCGGUCCCUAUCUGCCGUGGGCGCUGGAGAACUGAGGGGGGCUGCUCCUAGUACGAGAGGACCGGAGUGGACGCAUCACUGGUGUUCGGGUUGUCAUGCCAAUGGCACUGCCCGGUAGCUAAAUGCGGAAGAGAUAAGUGCUGAAAGCAUCUAAGCACGAAACUUGCCCCGAGAUGAGUUCUCCCUGACUCCUUGAGAGUCCUGAAGGAACGUUGAAGACGACGACGUUGAUAGGCCGGGUGUGUAAGCGCAGCGAUGCGUUGAGCUAACCGGUACUAAUGAACCGUGAGG